Molecule: ribosomal RNA, 301 nt
Filed under: uncultured bacterium
Lineage: Bacteria
Description: partial 16S ribosomal RNA
Rfam family: Bacterial small subunit ribosomal RNA
Source: RNAcentral
CAGUAGCCACGGUAAUACGAAGGGUGCAAGCGUUACUCGGAAUUACUGGGCGUAAAGCGUGCGUAGGUGGUGGUUUAAGUCCGUUGUGAAAGCCCUGGGCUCAACCUGGGAAUUGCAGUGGAUACUGGGUCACUAGAGUGUGGUAGAGGAUAGUGGAAUUUCCGGUGUAGCAGUGAAAUGCGUAGAGAUCGGAAGGAACAUCUGUGGCGAAGGCGACUAUCUGGGCCAACACUGACACUGAGGCACGAAAGCGUGGGGAGCAAACAGGAUUAGAUACCCGCGUAGUCCCUGUCUCUUAUAC